UUGCCUAUGAGGAUUAAAAUUUAAAUGUUGGAAUUACCGACUGAUUUAUUUUGAUGAAAAAUGGCUAUCUGAGGCUUAGU
This is a small nucleolar RNA of Impatiens glandulifera, 80 nucleotides long. Lineage: Eukaryota; Viridiplantae; Streptophyta; Magnoliopsida; Ericales; Balsaminaceae. The record is from RefSeq and is a predicted model, not a curated record.